GAGGGAAAAGCAGUUUCUCCACCGGAGCUCCACCGAUCUUAUCCCUUUUCACGCUCUGCUCUCUAUAAAAGCUUCUUUGUUACACAUCCUCCUCUCUCUCGAGAUGGAACACCCUCUCCAUCUUCUUUUAUCUCACCAUGUCCUCCGCACCUCUCCAAAGGGAGCUCCCCUUCUCCUUCUCCGAUCACCGCCCCUACCACGCCCUCUUCAAAGCUCCCUCCUUUCCCAACCUCUUCUCACUCCCCCGGUUCAAAGUGCUCCUCCCAUUCCCCGCAUUGAGAUUGCGAGCGAGCAACGUGACCGAGGGGAUAGCCCCAAAGGAAGAGACCCACGAGAGGAGAGCUGAGAAUGGUGCUGUGGUUGGUCGUGAGGAAAUAGUCGAGUUCAAGGGUCGGAAACAGAGGAAAGGGCUCAAAGGUAGAAGCUUUAGGCAAUUUAGAGAAAUGGGUUCUUCUGGUUUAUCUUCUAGUGAAGAUGGUUUAGUUGGCGGUGAGGAAAUUGCAGGAUUUAGAGGUCGCAAACAGAUGAAAGAGCUCAAAGAUCGAAGCUUUAGGCGGUUUAGAGAAAUCGGUUCUUCUGGGUUUUCCUCUAGUGAAGAUGGUUUUGCCGGUAGUGAAGAAAUGCUAGAAUUUGGAGGUCGGAAACAUAGGAAAGAGCUCAAAGAUAGAGGCUUUAGGCGAAAUAGCGCAAUGGGUUCUUCUCGGUUGCCUUAUUUGCGGCCUGGACGUAAAAUGGCAGGCGAAACAUUGAAAAAGGCUGUAGCUUUAAGUGAAAUUGAUGAGAAAACUGAGGAAGAGGUGGUGAAGAAGGCGAGUAAGAAAGCAAAGCUUAGUCCAGCAGCAAUUGAGCUGAGAGUUGGGUUAGAUAUGUGCUCCAAAAAAGGGGAUGUGGUGGGCGCCAUUUCUCUUUAUGAUUCGGCUAUUCGUGAUGGGAUACGAAUGGAACAGUACCAUUAUAAUGUGCUUCUGUAUUUAUGUUCCUCCGCCGCCAUCGGAGUAGUUCACCCUGCAAAAAGUGGUAGUGGUAGUAGUGGUAGUAAUAGUAGUAGUUCUAGUACUUAUGAUAGAACAGUAUCCAAUUCACAGUUUGAUGACAAUUUUAAUCUAGAAUUUGGUAGAAAUGUUUCUUCGGACGAGCAAUGUAAUAGGAAGGAUGAUAUUACAAUCAGUGAUGACGUAAAAGACUACGCACGAUCGAGGGGAUUUGAGAUCUUUGAAAAGAUGUGCUUAGAUGAAGUUCCAAUGAGCGAGGCGGCUUUAACAUCGGUUGCUCGAAUGGCAUUGUCUAUGGCUAACGGAGACUUGGCUUUUGAGAUUGUGAAACAUAUGAAGGAACUUGGUAUCAACCCACGACUAAGAUCAUAUGGCCCUGCUCUAGUGGCCUUUUGCAAUAAUGGUGAUGUCGAUAAGGCAUUUGAGGUGGAAGCACAUAUGGAGGAGUCCGGGGUCCAACCAGAAGAAUCUGAAUUAGAAGCACUUCUAAGAGCUAGUGUAGCGGCACGUAGAGGAGACAAGGUUUAUUAUGUACUUCAUAAACUUAGAACUAAUGUAAGGCAGGUGUCUCUAACAGUUGCAAAUUUAAUUGAGGAAUGGUUUAGAUGUUCGACAGCAUCAAAAGUUGGAAAAAGGAAAUGGGAUGCAAGUGUUGUAGCAAAGGCUAUUGAGAAUGGUGGAGGGGGUUGGCAUGGUUUGGGUUGGUUGGGCAGUGGAAGAUGGAAUGUGGCUCGAACUCGUGUUGAUGGAGAUGGGUUGUGUUUGGCUUGUGGUGAGAAAUUGGUGACUAUAGAUCUUGAUCCUAUUGAGACCGAGAAUUUUGCGUUAUCUGUCGCAUCGAUAGCUUGCAAGAGAGAAAGAAACUCGAGUUUUGAGAAGUUCCAAAAAUGGUUAGACUACUAUGGACCAUUUGAAGCUGUUGUUGACGCUGCCAAUGUCGGUGUUUUCAGUCAAAAGCGGUUUUUGCUAACUAAGGUAAAUGCUGUUGUGAAUGCCAUACGCCAGAAAUUUCCGUCGAAGAAAUGGCCACUAAUAAUUGUGCAUAACAAGCGGCUUAGUGGAGACAAGAUGGACGAACCCUUUAAUAGCAAGCUGAUAGAAAAGUGGAAGAAUGCUGAUGCUAUUUAUGCAACUCCAACUGGAUCAAAUGAUGAUUGGUACUGGUUGUAUGCAGCUAUAAAAUGCAAGAGCUUGAUCAUCACAAACGAUGAAAUGAGAGACCAUACAUUCCAGCUUUUAGGAAAUGAUUUCUUCCCCAGGUGGAAAGAAAGGCAUCAGGUGCGUUUCAGUUUUCAAGACGGCAGCUUCGAGUUCCAAAUGCCUCCUCCAUGUUCUGUUGUCGUCCAGCUCAGGAAUCAGCGAAAGGCCAUUGGCAUAUACCGGUAUUGAUGGCAAAUGAACCAGAGAGAGAAAGAACUUGGUUAUGUGUUACUCGGGCCAACUCACAAUCUGAAUUAAAGGAAUCAUCUGGGCCACCCAAAGCAUCACAAUCUUAGAACAUGGUGAGCCAUGCCUCAUUAUUUUCUUGGGUGGUUGAAGGCAAGAAGAUACCCAUGUGAGAAUAUGAGCUGAGAAUCUCGAAGAUAUAUGAUGGACACUGAAUUCCAUAACUACACAAAAAGUCUCAUGCGCGCAAGAGGUUAUAUGAACUGUCUUGAAGACCCAGAACAAUCUCACCAGCAGCGAAGUUAUCUGCAACACGAUCAAUUUCAGAUUCUUCUUACAUGCUCCAUGUAACACCUUUCCAAACUGUAGUAUUGUUUAUUAACUUACUAUUUUUGUAAUUUAGAUAUCAUCAAGGAUAUUUUCACUAGAGACUACCUCUAUUUCUGCUUCUGCUUCAGUUACUUCCUCCGGUGAAAUCUUUAGCCAACUUUAAAUUGUAUUCUCGACCUCCAUUUCUUAGUUGAAAAUACCCUUUAGGCAUACAUGCAGGUAUGUGAACCAUUCUGAAUGGCUUUGUGAAACCUUGUUUGUGUCA
Ananas comosus (pineapple) is the source of this 2973-nucleotide RNA transcript. It is a transcript of the gene named proteinaceous RNase P 1, chloroplastic/mitochondrial-like, with no coding region annotated. The transcript is spliced from 7 exons. The record is from RefSeq and is a predicted model, not a curated record. NCBI's taxonomy places the organism in Eukaryota, Viridiplantae, Streptophyta, Magnoliopsida, Poales, Bromeliaceae.